RNAcentral lists this microRNA (23 nucleotides) under Tribolium castaneum (red flour beetle). Its description in RNAcentral is "tca-miR-11642-5p". The record is from miRBase by way of RNAcentral. Lineage: Eukaryota; Metazoa; Arthropoda; Insecta; Coleoptera; Tenebrionidae.
UGGAAACAUUUGAUCGUACCAUG